This is a non-coding RNA of Otolemur garnettii (small-eared galago), 184 nucleotides long. The record is from Rfam. Lineage: Eukaryota; Metazoa; Chordata; Mammalia; Primates; Galagidae.
AUCACUUCUCAGCCUUUUGGCUAAGAUCAAGUGUGAAGAUACCAACUUUUAGUAUGGCUCCUAAAACAGCUCAGUUUAAUCUUUGCCUUCUUAAGAAGAGAAUUCUCUUCAAGAACAUUGAACCCGUAUCUUCUUAGUUUGAAUGACAGGUUAUUAAAUUCAUGGCUUCAUGAUUCACCCCUGA